Molecule: long non-coding RNA, 2230 nt
Organism: Lactuca sativa (garden lettuce)
Lineage: Eukaryota; Viridiplantae; Streptophyta; Magnoliopsida; Asterales; Asteraceae
Source: RefSeq, a predicted model, not a curated record
UAACACACCUCAUAGAAUGCCGACGGGGAGCUGAGGUUUUGUGUACCGUUGAAACAACUGCUGAAUUACGAAAAUGCCCUUUUUAAUGAUAGACAUCCUAGGAGACGUCAAAGACACCAUCAAGGACGGUGACGUGUUCUUCAACACUUUAAUGGUGUUUUGGACGUCGUCAAAGGACGGUGACGCAUUCUUCAACACUUUAUUGGUGUUUUGGGGCUGUCUGCUAUAACUUUUUUCCUCUUACUUCUUCUUCACAACUUCCACGAAAAAAAACAUUAAGAAACCUCUUAUUUUUUCAAUUUUUUGGCCAAAACUCAACCAACAUUCGUGAUUUUUGUUGCAAUCUUCAAGAAAUCAUCAAAUAUGCACUACAUUGGAAGAUUUACACACUUAAAUCACAUAUUUUGGGUCGAUUUCAAAACCCCCAAAAACUAGGGUUUCAAUUUUUUUUAUUUAUUUUCGGGUUUUGCUUCAAGUUUCUGUUUCCUCUUCAGUAGAAACACUAUCUUGACAAGAUGCUAGCAAAGAGGUCAAGAGUAGCACCAAUAAGCAGUUCAGCAGGAAACAGAUGACUUGUGAGGCCAGUCAGACAGUUGGAGCCAAAUAUACAUGUGACUUUUAACCCAUGGUAUCAUACACUUCAUGAGAAUCAAGAUGACAUCUGCCCAGCAGUUUAUGAGGCCACUCACCCGCUUACUUUAUUUAUAGUGGAGCACAUGGUGGAGUGAUACAACUUUGUUGGGUACGAUAUCGUGGAGACAUUUGACUGUUAUGGAUGGGGUGGAGCUCUAAACUUCAACCCCACACAUGUUUAUGUUGAUAUCGUAUGGGAAUGGAUGGGGUCACUUCGACGUAUCGAGAUACCUGAUAGGUCGGAGGAGCUACAGUUGAUUGGUUGGUUCGAACACAUGACAUAAUGUUGACUAUAUAGGGCAUUCGAGACAUGUUUCAUGUAGAUACUGGAUAUCAUCUGCAUGAUCCUGAGAACCAACCAACCGACUAAAAAUGUGUGGAUAUGAGGGGGUAACCAUGGGAUUAUCAUGGAAGAUUUGUACCGCACGGUAUUCUGCGAGGGGACGAGAGCAUAUGAUAGGUUUCGUGAUUUGGUGCCUUUAGCAAAGGAAUUGCAAAGGAUCAUCAUGGAUAAUGUGAACCUGAGGAGUAGCGAUCCCAGGGCGGUGAGGAUACAUGAUUUAUAUGUCUUGUACGGGUUGAUGAUGGGCUCCAUCUUUAUCUCUUAUGCAUAUAAUGAUAUGUGCAACAUAUGCUCCUCGUUUGAUAUCCAGAACAAAGUCACCACCCCCAUGUUGCCCUGAUAUCGACAUAUAUGACUAGGGAGUUGGGAGUUGGGGAAUAGGAUCUGGGUCCCGCGAGCUACAUCAUACCACCGUAUUCUUUUCCCUAUUGCUACUUCUUUUAGACACAUCUCAUUACAUAUUAUAAAUAGGAGACGUAGUCUGAUGGACUAUGCCAUAAAUAUGACUUACACAUCCCCACUUAGUGUGGGGGAUGAGGAGCCAUUUGCUAGAGAUUUUCAUGGAGAUCAACCACAGCAACAUGGACAUGCAGCAGGAUAGGGCUUGAACAUGCAAGCAGCAUGGGAGGACAUUAUAGGGAGGAAAAACACGCAUAGCCAGGAGGUGCAAACUUGGAUGGAGAGGAAAAAUAUGUGGAUGGAGGGUGUUGACACGACAAUAGCUAAUCUUACCAAAUAGAUACGACAUACUGGCAUUCCAGCUAACAAAACUUAUAGUGUUGCAACUUAUCAGUUGUACCAGCAGGAGUAAUAUGCGGAUGCAGCCUACAGACGCAGUCGUCUACAACAUGACCUGAUGGACAUUGAUUUGCCACAACAUCGAUCUCGAGCUCCAGCACUGGUUUCUAUCGAUCUGAGACCCGGGUGAGUAUCCUUCACCAUCGGAGUACGAGCAUUAACAUCCACCACCAGCUACAAAAUACAACUUUCGAUUUGAUGAUUUAGUUGGAUCGAUUUUUGGGUAUCCUCUACCAUACCCACGAUAUCCCCCACAACCUCCUCCACAAUAAACCUUGGUGACAUCCUUCUUUAAUUUUUGUUUUUAUGGUUGUGUGAUUAAGACAUUUUCCUUUUAUUUUUCUAUUUUUAUUUUUAUGUUUUUAUUUGGGAUGAAUGUACUGCUAUCUUAAACUCAUAUAUUAUUAUCGUUCUCUCUUGUGUUGGUUCUAUGAAAUCUGUGAUGAGUUAGUAGCU